AAAUUUUCUUAAGGAACUCGGCAAAAUCCCAAUGGCCCACCAGGGCAUAUUGGAACACGGGCCUCGACUGUUUACCAAAAACAUAGCCCUCGGCCAAUAUGAAAAUAGAUGUAUAGAGGGUGAUGCCUGCCCAAUGGUUGUAUCUAAAAGCGGUUGAUAAAAGUCGACCUCGUAAGGACAAUUGAAUGGCCGCGGUAACACUGACCGUGAUAAUGUAGCGUAAUCAAUAGCCAAUUAAUUGUUGGCCAGUAUGAAUGGCGCCACGAAGGCCCCACUGUCUUAAGGAAGUUCCCAGUGAAAUUGAAUUCGUAGUGAAGAUGCUACGUCCAAUUUGUUAGACGAAAAGACCCCGUUGAGCUUUACUGGGGCACUUACACGGCCCCGGCCUUCCCGUGUCCGGGAACCGGCCGAAUUUAAAUGGGUGGUUUAGACUAUGUGGCAGCCCCCCGCCGGGGCAGAUGAAACCCCACUCCCCCAUGUCAAAGGGGCUAACCCCCCCCUUGGGGGGGAGAGUGUAAGUAGGACAGUUUGGUUGGGGCGACCGCCUUUUAAAGAGUAACGAAGGUGCGCUUAAGGUGCGCAAUUAAUGACUGAAGCCUGACUGCGAGGGGGACACCCCGAGCAGACACCCCUAAGCCCGCCCGAAGGGCGGCGGGUGGGGUGGGCCAUAGUGACCCGUU
This 680-nucleotide ribosomal RNA is filed under the name Cladiella tuberculosa. Its description in RNAcentral is "partial 16S ribosomal RNA". It matches the Rfam family "Bacterial large subunit ribosomal RNA", at positions 1697 to 2424 of the family's 2925-position model. The record is from RNAcentral. Lineage: Eukaryota; Metazoa; Cnidaria; Anthozoa; Malacalcyonacea; Cladiellidae.